AUUGAACGCUGGCGGCAUGCCUUACACAUGCAAGUCGAGCGGUAACAGGUCUUCGGAUGCUGACGAGUGGCGAACGGGCGAGUAAUACAUCGGAACGUGCCUAGUAGUGGGGGAUAACUACUCGAAAGAGUGGCUAAUACCGCAUGAGAUCUACGGAUGAAAGCAGGGGAUCGCAAGACCUUGUGCUACUAGAGCGGCCGAUGGCAGAUUAGGUAGUUGGUGGGAUAAAAGCUUACCAAGCCGACGAUCUGUAGCUGGUCUGAGAGGACGAUCAGCCACACUGGGACUGAGACACGGCCCAGACUCCUACGGGAGGCAGCAGUGGGGAAUUUUGGACAAUGGGCGCAAGCCUGAUCCAGCAAUGCCGCGUGCAGGAUGAAGGCCUUCGGGUUGUAAACUGCUUUUGUACGGAACGAAAAGCCCCGGGUUAAUACCCUGGGGUCAUGACGGUACCGUAAGGAUAAGCACCGGCUAACUACGUGCCAGCCGCCGCCGUAA
RNAcentral lists this ribosomal RNA (498 nucleotides) under uncultured bacterium. RNAcentral's name for it is "partial 16S ribosomal RNA". It matches the Rfam family "Bacterial small subunit ribosomal RNA", at positions 30 to 523 of the family's 1533-position model. The record is from RNAcentral.